Molecule: ribosomal RNA, 459 nt
Filed under: uncultured bacterium
Lineage: Bacteria
Description: partial 16S ribosomal RNA
Rfam family: Bacterial small subunit ribosomal RNA
Source: RNAcentral
CCUACGGGUGGCAGCAGUGAGGAAUAUUGGUCAAUGGUCGGGAGACUGAACCAGCCAAGCCGCGUGAGGGAGGAAGGUACAGAGUAUCGUAAACCUCUUUUGUCAGGGAACAAAGGCGGGGACGUGUCCCCGGAUGAGUGUACCUGAAGAAAAAGCAUCGGCUAACUCCGUGCCAGCAGCCGCGGUAAUACGGAGGAUGCGAGCGUUAUCCGGAUUUAUUGGGUUUAAGGGGUGCGCAGGCGGUCUGUUAAGUCAGCGGUAAAAGCCCGGGGCGAAACCCCGGCCAGCCGUUGAAACUGGCAGUCUCGAGUUGGAGAGAAGUAUGCGGAAUGCGUGGUGUAGCGGUGAAAUGCUUAGAUAUCACGAAGAACCCCGAUUGCGAAGGCAGCUUACUAAACUGUGACUGACAUUGAUGCUCGAAAGUGUGGGUAUCAAACAGGAUUAGAUACCCGUGUAGUC